UGCUGUCGGUUUGGCCAGAUGGAAGA
Molecule: non-coding RNA, 26 nt
Filed under: Homo sapiens (human)
Lineage: Eukaryota; Metazoa; Chordata; Mammalia; Primates; Hominidae
Source: RNAcentral